GCCAGGCGUGGUGACUCACGCCUGUAAUCCCAGCACUUUGGGAGGCCGAGGCGGGUGGAUCACCUGAGGUCGGGAGUUCCAGACCAGCCUGACCAACAUGGAGAAACCCCGUCUCUA
Molecule: small RNA, 117 nt
Filed under: Macaca mulatta (Rhesus monkey)
Lineage: Eukaryota; Metazoa; Chordata; Mammalia; Primates; Cercopithecidae
Description: Metazoan signal recognition particle RNA (ENSMMUG00000060992.1)
Source: Rfam by way of RNAcentral